RNAcentral lists this ribosomal RNA (530 nucleotides) under uncultured Actinomycetes bacterium. RNAcentral describes it as "bacterial SSU rRNA". It matches the Rfam family "Bacterial small subunit ribosomal RNA", at positions 355 to 896 of the family's 1533-position model. The record is from RNAcentral. Lineage: Bacteria; Bacillati; Actinomycetota; Actinomycetes.
UGGGGAAUAUUGGGCAAUGGAGGGAACUCUGACCCAGCGACGCCGCGUGCGGGAUGAAGGCCUUCGGGUUGUAAACCGCUUUCAGCAAGGAAGAAGCGAAAGUGACGGUACUUGCAGAAGAAGCACCGGCUAACUAUGUGCCAGCAGCCGCGGUAAUACAUAGGGUGCAAGCGUUGUCCGGAAUUAUUGGGCGUAAAGAGCUCGUAGGUGGUUCGUCACGUCGGAUGUGAAAAUCUGGGGCUUAACCCCAGACCUGCAUUCGAUACGGGCGAGCUAGAGUGUGGUAGGGGAGACUGGAAUUCCUGGUGUAGCGGUGGAAUGCGCAGAUAUCAGGAGGAACACCAAUGGCGAAGGCAGGUCUCUGGGCCAUUACUGACACUGAGGAGCGAAAGCUGGGGGAGCGAACAGGAUUAGAUACCCUGGUAGUCCACGCCGUAAACGGUGGGCACUAGUUGUGGGAACCUUCCACGGUUUCUGCGACGCAGCUAACGCAUUAAGUGCCCCGCCUGGGGAGUACGAUCGCAAGAUUA